RNAcentral lists this ribosomal RNA (465 nucleotides) under Vreelandella stevensii. Its description in RNAcentral is "partial 16S ribosomal RNA". It matches the Rfam family "Bacterial small subunit ribosomal RNA", at positions 338 to 795 of the family's 1533-position model. Lineage: Bacteria; Pseudomonadati; Pseudomonadota; Gammaproteobacteria; Oceanospirillales; Halomonadaceae. The record is from RNAcentral.
CCUACGGGUGGCAGCAGUGGGGAAUAUUGGACAAUGGGCGAAAGCCUGAUCCAGCCAUGCCGCGUGUGUGAAGAAGGCCUUCGGGUUGUAAAGCACUUUCAGUGGGGAAGAAAGCCUUGGGGCUAAUACCCUCGAGGAAGGACAUCACCCACAGAAGAAGCACCGGCUAACUCCGUGCCAGCAGCCGCUGUAAUACGGAGGGUGCGAGCGUUAAUCGGAAUUACUGGGCGUAAAGCGCGCGUAGGCGGUCUGAUAAGCCGGUUGUGAAAGCCCCGGGCUCAACCUGGGAACGGCAUCCGGAACUGUCAGGCUAGAGGGCAGGAGAGGAAGGUAGAAUUCCCGGUGUAGCGGUGAAAUGCGUAGAGAACGGGAGGAAUACCAGUGGCGAAGGCGGCCUUCUGGACUGACACUGACGCUGAGGUGCGAAAGCGUUGGUAGCAAACAGGAUUAGAUACCCGUGUAGUC